CAGGGGGAACCCAAUGAGCUUAUAUACAGGGGGCUACUAAUGAGGUUAUAUACAGGGGGCUCCUAAUGAGGUUAUAUACAGGGGGCUCCUAAUGAGGUUAUAUACAGGGGGCACCUGAUGAGGUUAUAUACAGGGGGCACCUGAUGAGGUUAUAUACAGGGGGCACCUGAUGAGGUUAUAUACAGGGGGCACCUGAUGAGGCUAUAUACAGGGGACACCUAAUGAGGUUAUAUACAGGGGGCUCCUAAUGAGGUUAUAUACAGGGGGCACCUAAUGAGGCUAUAUGUGUGGGGGGGGCAUCUAAUGAGGUUAUAUACAGGGGCACCUGAUGAGGUUAUAUACAGGGGGCACCUGAUGAGGUUAUACAGGGGGCACCUGAUGAGGUUAUAUACAGGGGGCACCUGAUGAGGUUAUAUACAGGGGACACCUAAUGAGGCUAUAUACAGGGGACACCAAUGAGGUUAUAUACAGGGGGCACCUAAUGAGGUUAUAUACAGGGGGCAAUGGUACCGAUUCAGUGUGGAGGCUAUAUACAGGGGGCACCGGUACCGAGUCAGUGUGUGG
This is a long non-coding RNA of Oncorhynchus tshawytscha (Chinook salmon), 564 nucleotides long. Lineage: Eukaryota; Metazoa; Chordata; Actinopteri; Salmoniformes; Salmonidae. The record is from Ensembl.